This 769-nucleotide ribosomal RNA is filed under the name Alectorobius peruvianus. RNAcentral describes it as "12S ribosomal RNA". The record is from RNAcentral. Lineage: Eukaryota; Metazoa; Arthropoda; Arachnida; Ixodida; Argasidae.
GUUAGCAACGGGAAUGAAAUGCCUAGUUGAUCCCUUCUACUCCAAACAGUGGAAAAAAAGUUUGGUAGAAGGGAUAUUUAUCUAGUAUACCAAUAUAUUUGUAUCAAAAGCUCUUUAUGUUAACAAAUCAAUAAUCCUUAAUAGAAGAUAAAUUUUAGUUUUUUGUGUUUCAAAAAUAGGCUUUUAUGGAGUUCUGGCGAAGCCUGUGCCAGCCGCCGCGGUUAUACAGGCAGAAUGUAAUAUUUUAUAUUAUUUAAUAUUUAACUCAAGUAAAUUUUUAGGACUAAAUAGGUGAAAUUAUUAGUUUAUUGGAAUUGAUAGGUGUUAGGAAAUUUAUUUUCAAAAAUAGGAUUAGAUACCCUAAUAUUGUAAAAUGGAAUGUUGACAGUAAUUUUGGAUUUAUGAAAUCUAAAGAUUGUGGCGGUGUUUUAAGCUUUUUAGAGGAAUUUAUUCUUUGAUUGAUACGACUCAAGCAUCUUACUUGAUUUUGUUAGGUCAGUUUGUAUAUCGCUAUCAUUUUUUAUGAUGUUGUUAGGAAAUUAUAAAAAUAGUUUUUUAUUAAAAUGUUAGGUCAAAAUGCAGCGGAAGAUUGAGUUUGAAAUAAAUUACGUAUAUUUUUAUAGGGUUAUAGGAAGAAGGAAGAUGGAUUUAAAAGUAUGUUGAGAUUAUAAUGCUUGAUUGAAAGGAGCGCUGAAACAUGUACAUAUCGCCCGUCGCUCUCAUUGAAGGGAUAAGUCGUAACAAAGUAAAAGUACCGGAAGGUGUUUUU